UUCCCUUUUCCCUCUGCGGCUUCAGCACUGCCGACUGCGACUCGUCUCGUCUCCCUCAGGCCUCACCUCUCCGUCAGCCCGUCGUCUACUCACUGCUCCACCGGCGUCCGGCGGCCGGCCACCACGAGGUCCACCGUCCAGUCGUCCACGAGUCUUCUCCAGCUCUGCGUCAGUCCGUCGUCUGCUCAGUAAUCCACCGGCGGCCAGUCUUCUACUCUUCUCCAGUUCGCCGUCGUCUGCUCCAGUCCACCAGCCCUCGACUCCACGGCCAGCAGUCCACCAGACUACGAGACUUGUAGAGUUGGAAUUUACCCCUCCUCCCCCAGUCUCGCUGCGCAUCAACGCCGGAAUCUGCAAGGGUCUCUCCUCCCCCAGUCUCGCACAGCAAUGCCGGAAUCUGCAAAGCUAAGAGUAUGAGACGCAGGCACAUAGUGAUACAAGCUUGCAACCUCACAAUCUUUCUCUGACGGAAAGCCUUCUCCCUCACAACUGCAAAGCUCAGUUGAAAGCAAAGAGAAUCACUGCCAUGGGAACUUCAGUGCAGGUGAAGCCAUUGUGUGGAGUGUAUAACGAAAACCCUCUCUCCUACCUUGUCUCCGUUGAUGGCUUUAACUUCCUUAUUGACUGUGGUUGGAAUGACCACUUUGAUACCUCUCUUCUCCAACCCCUGUCCAGGGUAGCAUCAACAGUGGAUGCCGUGCUGCUCUCGUAUCCAGACACCCUUCACCUUGGUGCCCUGCCCUAUGCCAUGAAACACUUUGGAUUAGCUGCUCCUGUUUACGCCACUGAACCUGUUUAUAGAUUAGGAUUAUUAACUAUGUAUGAUCAAUAUCUCUCGCGUAAGCAAGUGUCCGAUUUUAAUUUGUUUACCCUGGAUGACAUUGAUUUUGCAUUCCAAAGUGUCACCAGAUUAACCUACUCUCAGAACUAUCAUAUGUCCGGGAAAGGUGAAGGAGUUGUCAUUGCUCCACAUGUAUCUGGUCAUCUACUAGGGGGUACAGUCUGGAAGAUAACAAAAGAUGGGGAAGAUGUUAUAUAUGCUGUUGACUUUAAUCAUCGCAAAGAAAGGCUUUUAAAUGGAACCAUUUUAGAGUCUUUUGUUCGCCCUGCUGUCCUAAUUACUGAUGCCUAUAAUGCUUUGAGCAACCAGCCUUCAAGACGUCAGAGGGAUCAAGAAUUUCUAGAUAGCAUUGAGAAGACUCUAAAUGCUGGUGGAAAAGUAUUACUACCUGUAGAUACUGCUGGUCGCGUAUUGGAACUCAUUUUGUUGCUAGAGCAGCACUGGCAUCAAAAGGGUUUGAGCUAUUCCAUAUUUUUUCUCACAUAUGUUGCAUCAAGUACAAUUGACUAUGUCAAGAGCUUCCUUGAGUGGAUGAGUGAUUCAAUAGCCAAGUCUUUUUGAGGACAGACGGGAUAAUGCUUUUCUUUUGAAGCAUAUCACACUUUUGGUAAACAAGAGUGAGCUUGAAAAGUUGCCAGAAGGUCCCAAGGUGGUUCUGGCAUCCAUGGCAAGUCUAGAGGCUGGAUUUUCACAUGAUAUAUUUGUUGAAUGGGCUACCGAUACAAGGAAUCUUGUUUUAUUCACCGAAAGAGGGCAGUUUGGCACACUAGCGCGUAUGCUUCAGUCUGAUCCACCUCCUAAAGUAGUUAAAGUUACCAUGUCAAAGAGGAUACCUUUGGUUGGAGAAGAGCUAGCUGCUUAUGAGGAGGAGCAAAAUAGGGUAAAGGAGGAAGCUCUCAAAGCUAGUAUGAUUAAAGAUGAAGAAUCAAAAGCAUCUCUUGGAGUUGACACUCUUACGAGUGACCCAAUGGUCAUUGAUUCAUCUAAUGUCAAACAUACUUCAUUAAAUGCUACCAGUCUACAAGUUGGUCCUUACAAGGAUGUAUUGAUUGAUGGGUUUGUUCUACCUUCUUCUAGUGUCGCACCAAUGUUUCCCUGCUAUGUUAAGUCCUCUGAUUGGGAUGAUUUUGGUGAAGUCAUCAAUCCUGAUGAUUAUGUCAUCCAGGAAGAACAUAUGGAGUUAUCAUUGAUGCCUGUUGAUGGAGAUCUUCAUGGAAAGCUUGAUGAGGGAUCUGCUAGCCUGAUAUUUGAUACUACACCAUCAAAAGUUGUAUCUUCUGAGUUAACUGUCCAAGUCAAGUGUUCCUUGGUUUACAUGGAUUUUGAAGGCCGCUCUGAUGGUCGUUCAAUCAAAUCUAUUCUUGCCCAUGUUGCUCCCUUAAAGCUUGUUUUGGUACAUGGCACAGCUGAAGCAACAGAGCAUUUGAAACAACAUUGUCUGAAGCAUGUAUGCCCACAUGUUUAUGCUCCCCAAAUUGAAGAAACGAUUGAUGUUACUUCAGAUUUGUGUGCUUAUAAGGUGCAACUAUCCGAGAAAUUAAUGAGCAAUGUGCUGUUUAAGAAACUUGGAGACUAUGAAAUAGCAUGGGUUGAUGCUGAAGUGGGGAAAACAGACAGUGGCAUGUUGUCUUUACUUCCUCUUUCAGAUUCUGCUCCACCACAUAAGACAGUACUUGUUGGAGACCUAAAACUGUCAGAUUUCAAGCAGUUUCUUGCAAGCAAGGGUGUGCAGGUAGAAUUUGCAGGUGGAGCCUUACGGUGUGGGGAGUAUGUGACUUUGCGAAAAGUAGGAGAUGCAAGCCAAAGGGGUGGUGGUGCUGCUGCUAUACAACAUAUCAUUCUUGAGGGGCCACUUUCUGAAGAAUAUUACACAAUUCGGGAGUAUUUAUAUUCACAAUUUUAUCCCUCUAAAUCUGAGUUGGAAGAGAUCUUCAUUCCUCGGGAAUUUGAUAUGUUCGAGUUUGACUUAUUUUUCGCAAUAGGCUGAAUGUAUCACAGGACAGGCUGGUAUGCAUUUGCCUAUGUAAGAAGGAUUGUAUACAUUCAAUCACCUUAAUUUUUGUCAAAAUCGCUUUCCGAGA
Molecule: RNA transcript, 2922 nt
Organism: Ipomoea nil (Japanese morning glory)
Lineage: Eukaryota; Viridiplantae; Streptophyta; Magnoliopsida; Solanales; Convolvulaceae
Gene name: cleavage and polyadenylation specificity factor subunit 2-like
Exons: 20
Source: RefSeq, a predicted model, not a curated record